This 1512-nucleotide long non-coding RNA is filed under the name Ficedula albicollis (Collared flycatcher). Its description in RNAcentral is "lncRNA (ENSFALG00000027693.1)". The record is from RNAcentral. Lineage: Eukaryota; Metazoa; Chordata; Aves; Passeriformes; Muscicapidae.
AUGCCCGGCUUCCCCGGGGGCCCAUCCAGACCAGGGGCUCCAGGCUCGCCCUUGACACCCUGGGAAGGAGAAAGUUGGGAUCAGGGUGGGAUGAGCCCCUCUGGAAGGAGUGGGGUCAGGUUUGGGAUGAGUGGGAUCGGGUUUGGGAUGAGCGGGGUCAGGUUUGGGAUGAGUGGGGUCAGGUUUGGGAUGAGCGGGGUCAGGUUUGGGAUGAGUGGGGUCAGGUUUGGGAUGAGCGGGGUCAGGUUUGGGAUGAGUGGGGUCAGGUUUGGGAUGAGCGGGGUCAGGUUUGGGAUGAGUGGGGUCAGGUUUGGGAUGAGCGGGGUCAGGUUUGGGAUGAGUGGGGUCAGGUUUGGGAUGAGCGGGGUCAGGUUUGGGAUGAGUGGGGUCAGGUUUGGGAUGAGCGGGGUCAGGUUUGGGAUGAGUGGGGUCAGGUUUGGGAUGAGCGGGGUCAGGUUUGGGAUGAGUGGGGUCAGGUUUGGGAUGAGCGGGGUCAGGUUUGGGAUGAGUGGGGUCAGGUUUGGGAUGAGCGGGGUCAGGUUUGGGAUGAGUGGGGUCAGGUUUGGGAUGAGCGGGGUCAGGUUUGGGAUGAGUGGGGUCAGGUUUGGGAUGAGCGGGGUCAGGUUUGGGAUGAGUGGGGUCAGGUUUGGGAUGAGCGGGGUCAGGUUUGGGAUGAGUGGGGUCAGGUUUGGGAUGAGCGGGGUCAGGUUUGGGAUGAGUGGGGUCAGGUUUGGGAUGAGCGGGGUCAGGUUUGGGAUGAGUGGGGUCAGGUUUGGGAUGAGCGGGGUCAGGUUUGGGAUGAGUGGGGUCAGGUUUGGGAUGAGCGGGGUCAGGUUUGGGAUGAGUGGGGUCAGGUUUGGGAUGAGCGGGGUCAGGUUUGGGAUGAGUGGGGUCAGGUUUGGGAUGAGCGGGGUCAGGUUUGGGAUGAGUGGGGUCAGGUUUGGGAUGAGCGGGGUCAGGUUUGGGAUGAGUGGGGUCAGGUUUGGGAUGAGCGGGGUCAGGUUUGGGAUGAGUGGGGUCAGGUUUGGGAUGAGCGGGGUCAGGUUUGGGAUGAGUGGGGUCAGGUUUGGGAUGAGCGGGGUCAGGUUUGGGAUGAGUGGGGUCAGGUUUGGGAUGAGCGGGGUCAGGUUUGGGAUGAGUGGGGUCAGGUUUGGGAUGAGCGGGGUCAGGUUUGGGAUGAGUGGGGUCAGGUUUGGGAUGAGCGGGGUCAGGUUUGGGAUGAGUGGGGUCAGGUUUGGGAUGAGCGGGGUCAGGUUUGGGAUGAGCGGGGUCAGGUUUGGGAUGAGCGGGGUCAGGUUUGGGAUGAGUGGGGUCAGGUUUGGGAUGAGCCCCUCUGGAUGUGGGGUCAGGGAGGGCUGGGUACUCACCGGGGUACCGGGGGCUCCAGCGGGGCCUUUGUCACCCUGGGGACAGGGACAGGGACAGGGACAGGGACAGGGAUCAGCCACCCCACAGAGCCCAUCCAGGGCCAUCGGGGUCCCUGUGCCACCCCAAAGACAGGAGGGACCCUGA